UUUUAACAUACUAUAUACACAUAAAAUUUCGCACUAUAAUAAUCGUUAUUUUGAGUAUUAAAAUCAUUAUUAAAUAUUUGUUUCGUUAAUCCUAAAAUUGAAGUAUAAUUAUUAAACUGUUAACAAAAAAAUUGCGUUUAGAUUUCAUAAACAUAUCGUAAAGUGACCGGUUUACCCAACGACCGUACACAGGUGUCACUUGUAGUCUUGAAGCAUAACCAAUCAGCAAGCGACGAUACCUCAUCGUCAUUAUAUCAGGCUAGCACAUCGUCAUAGAAUUCAGUACUGUUUAAUCGUCUUUCGUAUUCGACUCAAGGAUGGAUGGGGUAGUACAGUAAUUGGAAAGGAAAUUAUUCUACAUGUAAAAGCUCUCGGUAUUAAGACUACAAAAGGAAGAACUGAUACAAAGUGGAAGACAGAGCUUUCGUUUGAGAAGCAUUGAUAGCAAUAUUCUUCUACGUCUACGUUCAUCGUCAUAGCAUGGGCAUUGCCGGAAGACAUGACUCAGAUCAUGAGAUUCUGCUUCGUAUUGACAAACACCGUCAAUAAUGAAAUCAAUUCUAACUAAUGAUCCGUUUAAACUAUAAAGAUUAGGACGGCAUUUGUUAACAAAGUAAACAAAAUCUCUAGAAAGUCCACGACCAGCAUACCAUGACUCACACUUAUCUUUAUGGAAAAAUCGAAAACGGUCUGUACCUUUAAUUAGAUCUUGCUCUUUGAUUAAACUGUUGGUGGACAAUUUUUUUUGAAUUUCGAAGUCCCUGAAGAAAUCAGUGAGCGGAAUCAUUCGGUUCGUCGUUUCUUUUCUGAGUAAUGUUAAACAUAUAGUACAUUUAUAUUGUGCAUGCGAGACCGAAGGAACGUAGAGUGAACACAAGCAUGAUAGCGAGAGCGAUUUGGGCAAGAGCGAUGCGCUUUUGUUAAUGCUAUAGGCCUCCUGUGAGAACCACAUCUUAAGAGGAGCAACACUAGUAGUGGUUUAUCGACCAAUCGCGUGGAGACAUGAUCGCGAGGAAGCGCGUCAACGGGAGUCGUAAAUUCCCGUUACGAUUAGAAUAAUCGACGCCACGAGCAGAUCGAUGCCCUAUUUCGAUUAAGAUAAUAGAGAUAGUUUUAACGAGUAGCACUUGAGAUCAAAGAUAUUAUAUAUAUCCAACAACUCGUAGAUACGAUGAUUACGCUCAUUGCGUAUAUAUAUAUAUGUCGGAG
This 1209-nucleotide unclassified non-coding RNA is filed under the name Bombus terrestris (buff-tailed bumblebee). Its description in RNAcentral is "misc RNA ENSBTSG00005037867.1". The record is from RNAcentral. Lineage: Eukaryota; Metazoa; Arthropoda; Insecta; Hymenoptera; Apidae.